UCAGUCGACUCCUACGGGGAGGCAGCAGUGGGGGAAUAUUGCACAAUGGGCGCAAGCCUGAUGCAGCCAUGCCGCGUGUAUGAAGAAGGCCUUCGGGUUGUAAAGUACUUUCAGCAGUGAGGAAGGUGGGUAUGGUUAAUAGCAUACUCAUUUGACGUUAGCUGCAGAAGAAAGCACCGGCUAACUCCGUGCCAGCAGCCGCGGUAAUACGGAGGGUGCGAGCGUUAAUCGGAAUUACUGGGCGUAAAGCGCAUGCAGGUGGUUUGUUAAGUCAGAUGUGAAAGCCCGGGGCUCAACCUCGGAAUUGCAUUUGAAACUGGCAAACUAGAGUACUGUAGAGGGGGGUAGGAAUUUCAGGUGUAGCGGUGAAAUGCGUAGAGAUCUGAAGGAAUACCGGUGGCGAAGGCGGCCCCCUGGACAGAUACUGACACUCAGAUGCGAAAGCGUGGGGAGCAAACAGGAUUAGAUACCCUGGUAG
This 478-nucleotide ribosomal RNA is filed under the name uncultured bacterium. Its description in RNAcentral is "bacterial SSU rRNA". It matches the Rfam family "Bacterial small subunit ribosomal RNA", at positions 328 to 793 of the family's 1533-position model. The record is from RNAcentral.